This 73-nucleotide transfer RNA is filed under the name Canis lupus familiaris (dog). It matches the Rfam family "tRNA". From Rfam's summary of the family: Transfer RNA (tRNA) molecules are approximately 80 nucleotides in length. Their secondary structure includes four short double-helical elements and three loops (D, anti-codon, and T loops). Lineage: Eukaryota; Metazoa; Chordata; Mammalia; Carnivora; Canidae. The record is from Rfam by way of RNAcentral. RNAcentral also lists the same sequence under 3 other names.
GCCUGGCUGGCUCAGUCAGUAGAGCAUGAGACUCUUGAUCAUGGAGUUGUGAGUUUGAGCCCCAUGUCAGGCG